UCGAUGAAGAACGCAGCGAAAUGCGAUAAGUAAUGUGAAUUGCAGAAUUCAGUGAAUCAUCGAAUCUUUGAACGCACAUUGCGCCCCUUGGUAUUCCGAGGGGCAUGCCUGUUCGAGCGUCAUUUCAACCCUCGAGCACAGCUUGGUCUUGGGCUUCGCCGCUAACCGGCGGGUCUUAAAAUCAGUGGCGGUGCCGUCGGGCCCUGAGCGUAGUACACCUCCUCGCUAUAGGGCCCUGGCGGAUGCCGGCCAGCAACCCCCAAUUUCUAUGGUUGACCUCGGAUCAGGUAGGGAUACCCGCUGAACUUAA
RNAcentral lists this ribosomal RNA (310 nucleotides) under uncultured fungus. RNAcentral describes it as "eukaryotic LSU rRNA". The stretch from base 1 to 122 matches the Rfam family "5.8S ribosomal RNA", at positions 33 to 154 of the family's 154-position model. The record is from RNAcentral. Lineage: Eukaryota; Fungi.